CGGAAGCUGCGCCAUCAUGCUCGUUUUCGCGUGCGUUCGCGUCGCGCGCUGUGCGAAGUAAUUUUAAACGUGUGAUUAGUUUUGCGCGCGGGGUAGAAAAAGAUGUGGCCCAUGCUUUGUGUAUUACUCGUGCCGCACUUCAAAGCAAAGCGUUCGUACGCACUGGAAGAUGGAUCCACGAAGGCUGAAACGAGAAGUUGCAACGUGCCGGUCGAUAGUACUGGCAUGAUGGAAACUUUCAGCGAGUGUUCCCGCCUGAAAGCCGAGUUUGGUUUCAAGCCACCCUGGACAACUGCUGUAUGAGGCGCCGUUUCUCGGGAGGACCAGUGGGAAGGCGCCAAGUAUACGCUUCGUCCUUUUUCCUCCCAUGCCCUAAUGAAUCGAUAUCCUUGUUUUUUAUUGUGAAAGGAACGUUACAUCCAGAGCAUAAAUAAAUGAUUAGGAAAUCUGGUAGUGUGUUUCGCCAUUACAAUAAUUCCGAUCUUAAAGACGUGGAUUUCCCAUUAGCCCACAUUUCUUUUGAUGCAGACAACCGCUGAAAUUGUUAGCGGCAGGUUAUUCGAGACGUUCUACGUAUAUAGCAAUUGUCUUCAGGAGCUUUAAUGAAUAUUGAAAAUUUGAAGUGUUGUGCUUUAGAGGUAUCAUAUAUAAUCUUUAGGUCUCUGGGUAAUUUGCAUGCCCUUCAAGAGCUGUCGCCUAUAGCCCUAUUGAAAUUCGUAACUACAGUUUGGAGCACUGGGGAAGCUAGAAGGCUUGCCCUGGCUCUCGAGAAAGUGUUUAAGCUGGAGGUGUAGGUUGAGGAGUUUGGGGUUGGUAACACAAAGGAUUUUUUAUGCCUUAGCAGUAGGAGUGACACAGGAUAAAAAAAUGUAUGUGUGUCAAGCACAGGAAGCUGCUCGUGUGGUAGAAGCAUGUGUGCGUGUGUGUGUGUGUGCGCGUGUGUGUGUGCGCCCAUGCAUGCGUGCGUGUGUGUGAAUUCUCUCCUCAAAAGGGAGUAUGUGUGUGAGCUAUUUCAUUGCUGGUCUGUUUGCCAAGAAUUGGAAGAAAACACAAUAAUCAAUUUAACUUGAAAUAAUAAACUUCAAAGCAUACUGGCGUACUGGCGACAGCAGCAUACAAGCAUGCAGCUGUGUGACAAUCUUAAUGCAUGACUGCAACAUCUGGAAGGAGGCUUGCUUCUUCAGUAAGCAGCACAAAGUCCAUAUUCUUGGCUUUUCUCGUGCAAACCAAAACGAGGCUCAUUGCCAAUGAUCUUGUCUUUUGCUCUAAUAGCAUUUGUUUAUCUUGUACUUAGAGCGUUGUUUCUCGCAGGUCAUGCAGAUGGUAGCAGCGAUUUCACAAUGCCCAGCCUUGGCGCCCCCCAUCAAGAGCAAGCCACUUGCUUUCGCCUUCAGACAGAUGGUUAACGUCUUCUUGAAAGCGGUUGAGAAGACAACAUUGCUGCAAGAUUCCAGCAAUGCCAUGCGCUGCAUUUAUUGGUCAAGAUGCUCAGAGAAUGGAGUCCCUGCACCUCGUGGUUAACCGUGAACAUUUCUUUUUCUUUUGGAAAGCUAAAGGCCAUUUGCUGCAUCACUUGCAUUUUUGCAGCUCAGAUGUGUACUAUAUUUUUCUAAUUUUGAAUCAAUAUUGGCUAUUCAGUAUAAAAAAUGACGUACAGCGUGAAGGACAAGGACUGCGAGAGACACACUCCACUGACUUUCAACAAUAUUUUAUUGCGUUGCCACAUCGUAUGUGUAUACACAGAGGGGUCAUGCGCAGAAAAUGAAAGCCAGACACAAGGGGUGUUCUAACAGCAAGUCAUUGUAAAAAGAACAUGGUCACUUGAAAAAAAAAAACAUCACAAUUUCUAUCUGUUUAGAUACAAAAUUUCACUAGGGGUCAGCGUGAUAGAGGGGGCACUAACGCACACACUACCCAGUUUUCUGGUGAAAU
Non-coding RNA from Dermacentor albipictus, 1932 nucleotides. The record is from RefSeq and is a predicted model, not a curated record. Lineage: Eukaryota; Metazoa; Arthropoda; Arachnida; Ixodida; Ixodidae.